AUUUAGUAUAGUUUAAUUAAAGAAUAAUAAUUUGUGGUAUUAUUGGUGAAUUUUAAUUCUCUAGAUC
RNAcentral lists this transfer RNA (67 nucleotides) under Dichelops melacanthus. RNAcentral describes it as "tRNA-His". The record is from RNAcentral. Lineage: Eukaryota; Metazoa; Arthropoda; Insecta; Hemiptera; Pentatomidae.